UUAAGUAGAGGUUGCACCAUUAAUCAGUAUUAAGCGUGAUGUGUCAGGCACAGGUGAUCGUUUUUGAAAGGUGAUGGUGCCGAAGCGGCAUGGUUCCUGAGACUGUGCGGGCUGGGAGUAUGGUUAAGAGCCAUGCUACUGUCAUCGCAGGAUGGAGAGCUACGGGU
This 167-nucleotide non-coding RNA is filed under the name uncultured Butyrivibrio sp. RNAcentral describes it as "Lysine riboswitch". It matches the Rfam family "Lysine riboswitch aptamer". From Rfam's summary of the family: Riboswitches are metabolite binding domains within certain messenger RNAs that serve as precision sensors for their corresponding targets. Allosteric rearrangement of mRNA structure is mediated by ligand binding, and this results in modulation of gene expression. Lineage: Bacteria; Bacillati; Bacillota; Clostridia; Lachnospirales; Lachnospiraceae. The record is from RNAcentral.